RNAcentral lists this ribosomal RNA (1352 nucleotides) under uncultured bacterium. Its description in RNAcentral is "16S ribosomal RNA". It matches the Rfam family "Bacterial small subunit ribosomal RNA", at positions 35 to 1382 of the family's 1533-position model. The record is from RNAcentral.
GCUAGCGGCAGGCUUAACACAUGCAAGUCGAGGGGCAGCGAGUAGAUUGCUUGCAAUCUAUGUCGGCGACCGGCGCACGGGUGCGUAACGCGUAUGCAACCUACCCAUUACAGGGGGAUAACACUGAGAAAUCGGUACUAAUACCCCAUAACAUCCAGGGAGGCAUCUUCUUGGGUUGAAAACUCCGGUGGUAAUGGAUGGGCAUGCGUUGUAUUAGUUAGUUGGUGGGGUAACGGCUCACCAAGACAACGAUACAUAGGGGGACUGAGAGGUUAACCCCCCACAUUGGUACUGAGACACGGACCAAACUCCUACGGGAGGCAGCAGUGAGGAAUAUUGGUCAAUGGACGCAAGUCUGAACCAGCCAUGCCGCGUGCAGGAAGACGGCUCUAUGAGUUGUAAACUGCUUUUGUACGAGGGUAAACGCAGAUACGUGUAUCUGUCUGAAAGUAUCGUACGAAUAAGGAUCGGCUAACUCCGUGCCAGCAGCCGCGGUAAUACGGAGGAUUCAAGCGUUAUCCGGAUUUAUUGGGUUUAAAGGGUGCGUAGGCGGUCGGAUAAGUUAGAGGUGAAAUCCCGAGGCUCAACUUCGGAAUUGCCUCUGAUACUGUUCGGCUAGAGAGUAGUUGCGGUAGGCGGAAUGUAUGGUGUAGCGGUGAAAUGCUUAGAGAUCAUACAGAACACCGAUUGCGAAGGCAGCUUACCAAGCUACUUCUGACGUUGAGGCACGAAAGCGUGGGGAGCAAACAGGAUUAGAUACCCUGGUAGUCCACGCAGUAAACGAUGAUAACUCGUUGUCGGCGAUACAAUGUCGGUGACUAAGCGAAAGCGAUAAGUUAUCCACCUGGGGAGUACGUUCGCAAGAAUGAAACUCAAAGGAAUUGACGGGGGCCCGCACAAGCGGAGGAACAUGUGGUUUAAUUCGAUGAUACGCGAGGAACCUUACCCGGGCUUGAAAGUUAGUGACAGAUCUGGAAACAGGUCUUCCCUUCGGGGCACGAAACUAGGUGCUGCAUGGUUGUCGUCAGCUCGUGCCGUGAGGUGUCGGGUUAAGUCCCAUAACGAGCGCAACCCCUACCGUCAGUUGCCAGCAGGUCAAGCUGGGCACUCUGGCGGGACUGCCGGUGUAAGCCGAGAGGAAGGUGGGGAUGACGUCAAAUCAGCACGGCCCUUACGUCCGGGGCUACACACGUGUUACAAUGGCAGGUACAGAGGGCAGCUACCCAGCGAUGGGAUGCGAAUCUCGAAAGCCUGUCUCAGUUCGGAUUGGAGGCUGAAACCCGCCUCCAUGAAGUUGGAUUCGCUAGUAAUCGCGCAUCAGCCAUGGCGCGGUGAAUACGUUCCCGGGCCUU